RNAcentral lists this ribosomal RNA (674 nucleotides) under bacterium IMCC11254. Its description in RNAcentral is "bacterial SSU rRNA". It matches the Rfam family "Bacterial small subunit ribosomal RNA", at positions 28 to 750 of the family's 1533-position model. The record is from RNAcentral.
AACGAACGCUGGCGGCAGGCCUAACACAUGCAAGUCGAGCGCGCCUUCGGGUGAGCGGCGGACGGGUUAGUAACGCGUGGGAACGUACCCUUCUCUACGGAAUAGCCUUUGGAAACGAAGAGUAAUACCGUAUACGCCCUUUGGGGGAAAGAUUUAUCGGAGAAGGAUCGGCCCGCGUUAGAUUAGAUAGUUGGUGGGGUAACGGCCUACCAAGUCUACGAUCUAUAGCUGGUUUUAGAGGAUGAUCAGCAACACUGGGACUGAGACACGGCCCAGACUCCUACGGGAGGCAGCAGUGGGGAAUCUUAGACAAUGGGCGCAAGCCUGAUCUAGCCAUGCCGCGUGAGUGAUGAAGGCCUUAGGGUCGUAAAGCUCUUUCGCCUGUGAUGAUAAUGACAGUAGCAGGUAAAGAAACCCCGGCUAACUCCGUGCCAGCAGCCGCGGUAAUACGGAGGGGGUUAGCGUUGUUCGGAAUUACUGGGCGUAAAGCGCACGUAGGCGGAUUGGAAAGUUGGGGGUGAAAUCCCGGGGCUCAACCCCGGAACUGCCUCCAAAACUAUCAGUCUAGAGUUCGAGAGAGGUGAGUGGAAUUCCAAGUGUAGAGGUGAAAUUCGUAGAUAUUUGGAGGAACACCAGUGGCGAAGGCGGCUCACUGGCUCGAUACUGACGCUGAG